AGGAGGGAUCAUACCAGCACUAAUGCACCGGAUCCCAUCAGAUCCCCGCAGUUACGCGUGCUUGGGCGGGCAUAGUACUUGGAUGGGUGACCUACUGGAAAUCCCUCGUGUUGCACCUC
Molecule: ribosomal RNA, 119 nt
Filed under: Lupinus angustifolius (narrow-leaved blue lupine)
Lineage: Eukaryota; Viridiplantae; Streptophyta; Magnoliopsida; Fabales; Fabaceae
Source: RNAcentral